RNAcentral lists this non-coding RNA (30 nucleotides) under Mus musculus (house mouse). The record is from RNAcentral. Lineage: Eukaryota; Metazoa; Chordata; Mammalia; Rodentia; Muridae.
UGAUGUGACAAUUCUUAUGAAAAAGGACGU